Molecule: non-coding RNA, 46 nt
Organism: Salmo salar (Atlantic salmon)
Lineage: Eukaryota; Metazoa; Chordata; Actinopteri; Salmoniformes; Salmonidae
Source: Rfam
ACAUUGGCUUUACUCAAAGCCAUUGGCAUGUCAUUAGAAAUUUUUU